RNAcentral lists this long non-coding RNA (753 nucleotides) under Volvox carteri. RNAcentral's name for it is "long non-coding RNA (VCAR_LNC004280)". The record is from RNAcentral. Lineage: Eukaryota; Viridiplantae; Chlorophyta; Chlorophyceae; Chlamydomonadales; Volvocaceae.
AACUGUUUGGUACACAGUUAUUAAGACAGUUAUAAGACAGUUGUAGGCAUUUGGCAGACAGUUGACCCCACAACCGUUGGCACACAGUUGAGCAGGCUGUGGACAGACAGUUGGGCAGGCAGUUGCUGACAUGACAGGUGGACAGUCAGUCGGUUUCAAGCCACAUGGUUGAUGGGACAGUUAAAAUCAGUACGUCGGUUGUUAGUCAGUUGUGAGACAGUUGGAAGGCAGUUGGUGGGCAGUUAGCAGGCAAUCAGGCAGAUGAUGUGGUGGCAGACACUUUAUGGGCACUUACUAAGUAAAAAAAAGGUAGUUACCGCAGGCACACACAUUAUUGUUGGUGGUCAGGACACUAGUAAUAUAUAUAUAGGUGGGUUGGCAGUUGGCAAAAAGUCAAGUCAAUACACAGUUCAGAGGCAGUUGGCUGACAGAUCGGAGACAGUUGGCCAAACAGUUGCCUGACUGUUGAAAAACAAUUCGUGGUAGGUCGUUGGGAGGAAGUUGAUGAACACAGCUAGCAGACAGUUAGGAACACGCGCUGAAUUUAACUGGCAUGGCCACACCGAGGCAUGGAUCCAUCCGGAUGGGAGUGUGGGCUACACAGCAGCCUGGCUCCUGUGCAGCAGGNGCCAGCAGCCUUCUUUCUGGUAUCAAGGAUCCAGUACUAUCGGUGGCAGCACAGCGCAGGAAGAGGACACGAUGCUGCCCAGACAUUGCUUCACAGGGAGGAGGGGCCUGUGUGUAGUAUGAGNN